Molecule: ribosomal RNA, 465 nt
Filed under: Vreelandella stevensii
Lineage: Bacteria; Pseudomonadati; Pseudomonadota; Gammaproteobacteria; Oceanospirillales; Halomonadaceae
Description: partial 16S ribosomal RNA
Rfam family: Bacterial small subunit ribosomal RNA
Source: RNAcentral
CCUACGGGCGGCAGCAGUGGGGAAUAUUGGACAAUGGGGGCAACCCUGAUCCAGCCAUGCCGCGUGUGUGAAGAAGGCCCUCGGGUUGUAAAGCACUUUCAGUGAGGAAGAACGCCUGGUGGUUAAUACCCAUCAGGAAAGACAUCACUCACAGAAGAAGCACCGGCUAACUCCGUGCCAGCAGCCGCGGUAAUACGGAGGGUGCGAGCGUUAAUCGGAAUUACUGGGCGUAAAGCGCGCGUAGGUGGCUUGAUAAGCCGGUUGUGAAAGCCCCGGGCUCAACCUGGGAACGGCAUCCGGAACUGUCAAGCUAGAGUGCAGGAGAGGAAGGUAGAAUUCCCGGUGUAGCGGUGAAAUGCGUAGAGAUCGGGAGGAAUACCAGUGGCGAAGGCGGCCUUCUGGACUGACACUGACACUGAGGUCCGAAAGCGUGGGUAGCAAACAGGAUUAGAUACCCUUGUAGUC